This 216-nucleotide unclassified non-coding RNA is filed under the name Hevea brasiliensis (rubber tree). The record is from RNAcentral. Lineage: Eukaryota; Viridiplantae; Streptophyta; Magnoliopsida; Malpighiales; Euphorbiaceae.
GGGAAGAGAAGAAAUUCAUUUGAAGCACGACAGGAAAAUGUUGAAAAGGAAUUAAGAGAGAGCAGUAGUAGUAGCUCUCUUCCUCAUUUCAUGCAAGCCACAGAAUCCGCUAGAGCCAAGGCCCAUUCGACCAACUCACCAAGAUCAAGUCCGGAUGUUCAAGAUGGAGAAAUAUACAUGAAGAAAAGGCAUUCCUUACCUGCUGAUGGCCGGCAA